GUCCUGGUAGUACAAUGGAUAGUACAAGGCUCUCCUAAAGCUUAGAUACGAGUUCGAUUCUCGUCUGGGACA
This 72-nucleotide transfer RNA is filed under the name Firmicutes bacterium CAG:582. It matches the Rfam family "tRNA". From Rfam's summary of the family: Transfer RNA (tRNA) molecules are approximately 80 nucleotides in length. The record is from Rfam by way of RNAcentral. Lineage: Bacteria; Bacillati; Bacillota.